UGGCGGGCUAGAUUAAGUGAGUAACUGCAUUUCCGGAUGUUGUCAGUCGAUUGAAGGGGGGGGUUGGCAUAAAACUUUAGCCUAAGCACUCAAAAUGAAGCAGGCGGUGGAAUUCGAGGAGUGUCUGAAAGACUCUCCGCGUUUCAGAUAUCAGAUUGAUCAAAAUGAACAGGAUAUCAAUGUUUUGGAAGGUGCUCUGGAAAAGCUGAUCAAGCUUUGUAAUGGAAUGGUGGAGACAGG
Molecule: long non-coding RNA, 240 nt
Organism: Stylophora pistillata
Lineage: Eukaryota; Metazoa; Cnidaria; Anthozoa; Scleractinia; Pocilloporidae
Source: RefSeq, a predicted model, not a curated record